GAGAGGUGGCCGAGUGGUCGAAGGCGCUCCCCUGCUAAGGGAGUAUACCAGGAAUGGUAUCGAGGGUUCGAAUCCCUUCCUCUCC
RNAcentral lists this transfer RNA (85 nucleotides) under Asterionellopsis glacialis. It matches the Rfam family "tRNA". Rfam says of the family: Transfer RNA (tRNA) molecules are approximately 80 nucleotides in length. The record is from RNAcentral. Lineage: Eukaryota; Bacillariophyta; Plagiogrammaphyceae; Rhaphoneidales; Asterionellopsidaceae.